GGCGACAGGCACGAUCACCAGCGUCGGCGCCCCUUUCAGGAACCUGAGGCCGUUGGAGAGGAUGUCGGUGAGGCCGCUCGUCUUGAAGCCAUCGGCAAUGGCGAAUCCUGCGCCGAGGAGAAGGAUGAUGUUCCACUGGAUCUUCUUGCACUUGUUCCAGUCCAUCAGCUUCUCACCCUCCCUCUUCCCGCUGGGGAUUAUGAACAGAAGGG
Molecule: unclassified non-coding RNA, 212 nt
Filed under: Hevea brasiliensis (rubber tree)
Lineage: Eukaryota; Viridiplantae; Streptophyta; Magnoliopsida; Malpighiales; Euphorbiaceae
Source: RNAcentral